AAGCGGACCAGGAGCCUAAACCACAGAAAUGUGUCUGUCGUCUCACAGUUCUGAAAGCUGCAAGCCUGAGAUCAAGGCGUGGGCAGAAUUCGCUUCUUCUGGAGCCUCUCUCCUCGGCUUAUAGUUGCCUUUUGGCCCGCCACGCCCCCCAUCCUGUUCCCAGAGUAACCUGAGACCUGGUAGGCACAAAUACAGGCGGCUCGACAUCAAGAAGAGCAGAGGAACACAGCGGCAGACACCAGCGGACACCAGUGGGGACACCAGCAGACCCUGGCAGACACCAGCAGACACCCGGAAGACCAGACGGCAGAAGAACGUGGACGCGGAGGGGAGUUCAGCUGGGGCAGUCGGAGAAGAGUCCUGCUUCCGGGCCGCCCAACUCCAGGGGAGACCAUCUUCCCACUCCAUUCCCCUUGCUGAGAGCCUCACCCUCCAAGCCCACGUGUGAUCUGAUUUUUCUGGUACACUGGGCAAAAACUCGGGAUACAGAAAGCCCUCUGCCCUUGCAAUAAGGCAGAGGGCCUAAUUGAGCUGAUUAACGCAAGCCGUUUGCAGACUGCAAAGCUGAAAGAACACGCUGUAACACACACCCACGGGGGCUUCAGGAGUCGUAAACUCUCACUGCCAGACGCUUCCGCGAGGUGGGAGCCCAAAAGCAUUCCCCACACCCUCUGCUCCUGCCUGCCUGCAUGCUCUCCCCAGGGGUUUGAGCAGUGGGGCACUGAGCAAGUGAGCCACACCCCUGGCACGUCCUGCAAGCGGGAUAAGGGAACUCUCCCGUAUCAAUAACAGUAUGUUAUUAUGUUAUUAUGAAAUUACCCAAC
RNAcentral lists this long non-coding RNA (824 nucleotides) under Homo sapiens (human). RNAcentral describes it as "HSALNT0084276". The record is from RNAcentral. Lineage: Eukaryota; Metazoa; Chordata; Mammalia; Primates; Hominidae.